UACGUAGGUGGCGAUCGUUGUCCGGAUUUACUGGGCGUAAGGAGCGCGCAGGCGGUCGUGCAAGUCGGAUGUGAAAGCCCCCGGCUCAACUGGGGAGGGUCAUUCGAUACUGCUCGACUUGAAGGCGGGAGAGGGAAGCGGAAUUCCCGGUGUAGUGGUGAAAUGCGUAGAUAUCGGGAGGAACACCAGUGGCGAAGGCGGCUUCCUGGCCCGUUCUUGACGCUGAGGCGCGAAAGCUAGGGGAGAAAACGGG
This 253-nucleotide ribosomal RNA is filed under the name uncultured bacterium. RNAcentral describes it as "partial 16S ribosomal RNA". It matches the Rfam family "Bacterial small subunit ribosomal RNA", at positions 524 to 776 of the family's 1533-position model. The record is from RNAcentral.